UACGGAGGGUGCGAGCGUUGUUCGGAAUCACUGGGCGUAGAGGGCGUGUAGGCGGUUCGCUAAGUCUGAUGUGAAAGCCCGGGGCUCACCCCCGGAAGUGCAUUGGAAACUGGCGGACUCGAGUCCCGGAGAGGAGGGUGGAAUUCCUGGUGUAGCGGUGAAAUGCGUAGAUAUCAGGAGGAACACCGGUGGCGAAGGCGGCCCUCUGGACGGUGACUGACGCUAAGACGCGAAAGCGUGGGGAGCAAACAGG
Molecule: ribosomal RNA, 253 nt
Filed under: uncultured bacterium
Lineage: Bacteria
Description: partial 16S ribosomal RNA
Rfam family: Bacterial small subunit ribosomal RNA
Source: RNAcentral